AUUGAACGCUGGCGGCAUGCCUUACACAUGCAAGUCGAACGGUAACAGGUCUUCGGAUGCUGACGAGUGGCGAACGGGUGAGUAAUACAUCGGAACGUGCCUAGUAGUGGGGGAUAACUACUCGAAAGAGUGGCUAAUACCGCAUGAGAUCUACGGAUGAAAGCAGGGGAUCGCAAGACCUUGUGCUACUAGAGCGGCCGAUGGCAGAUUAGGUAGUUGGUGGGAUAAAAGCUUACCAAGCCGACGAUCUGUAGCUGGUCUGAGAGGACGAUCGGCCACACUGGGACUGAGGCACGGCCCAGACUCCUACGGGAGGCAGCAGUGGGGAAUUUUGGACAAUGGGCGAAAGCCUGAUCCAGCAAUGCCGCGUGCAGGAUGAAGGCCUUCGGGUUGUAAACUGCUUUUGUACGGAACGAAAAGCCCCGGGUUUAUACCCUGGGGUCAUGACGGUACCGUAAGAAUAAGCACCGGCUAACUACGUGCCAGCCGCCGCGGUAA
RNAcentral lists this ribosomal RNA (498 nucleotides) under uncultured bacterium. RNAcentral describes it as "partial 16S ribosomal RNA". It matches the Rfam family "Bacterial small subunit ribosomal RNA", at positions 30 to 523 of the family's 1533-position model. The record is from RNAcentral.